RNAcentral lists this small RNA (68 nucleotides) under Domibacillus iocasae. RNAcentral describes it as "Bacillaceae-1 RNA". It matches the Rfam family "Bacillaceae-1 RNA". Lineage: Bacteria; Bacillati; Bacillota; Bacilli; Caryophanales; Bacillaceae. The record is from Rfam by way of RNAcentral.
CUAAGAUAACAUUCUUCUAAAAGCGCUCACGUCCUGUGAGCAACGAAGAAGCCAAAACAUCCUGUUUA